GUUUAGGAAUGAAUACUUUAGUGUAUUCACUUUACACAGGCCUGUACCUGUUUGCUUCUUUACCCCUGCGAGGUUCCCCCUCCCUGGGGCUCCUGGGAACUCCUCAGAUGGGCUACCUGGUAAUUAUUCCAGCAUGAGCAUGGAGAGAAGGGGGGCAGGCAUCUGGUGGAUUGACUGCAGGGCAUGUGGAUCAGGCAAAAAGCCAGUGGAAUCAGGUGAGGUUGCUGCCGUGACCUCCUUCAGGUCGACCGUCCUACUCAGCAGAGACCAGACCUGCCCCUUGUCUUCCAGCCCUGUGUCUGGUGUGUUUUCUCAGCUCCUCAGUGGGACAAGAAAGGACCGAGCCUGCCAGAACCAAGACUCAUUCCAGCCUGGGCCACAACCCCUGCUGAGGUGCCUAGGAGGCUGCACUCUCAGGAUGGAGACUUGGAAUUGGGGACCCCAUCACCAGGACCCCUGGCGACUAGGUGAGUGUUACAAGGUCCUGAAGGCAGAGGGUGUGCCCCCAUCCUUUGGGUGCACGAGGGCGUGUGGUCCAGACUGAGCCAACCAGACAGUGCAGGUGUACUCGGGCUCUAAAUUAAGGGCCCCUCCGGUGCCACGCCCCCAUCCCAGUCAUGGGAACCAAGCCUGCUCAGGUUCCAGGGAAGGGUAGCAGCCCAAGCCAGGGAGGCUGGAAGGAAAGAAAUAGAUAUUGCUGUUAUUUCUUUUCAUUUUCUUGAAUCUCAUGCCAGUCCUAUGUUUGAGUAGAGUUGAUCUGCAGUUUGAGCUUGUCUUCAGUGUACAGAUGCUUGAUUCAGUUGUGACAUAUACAUGCAGCACAGCUCUUCUUUUUUGGGUUCUUAUUCCACAGAGGUGAUUGUAGAGGUAGAGAAAAAUUCCCUGUGCUGAACAUCAGAUCCUUGUGCCGUAUCUAUCAGAGAUACCAAUUUUGUGAGAAUGUCAAAGGAAGGAAAGAGGAAAUCCUUGUGGAUUAUUAUAGACAGACUUCUGUGUAUAGGCUGGAGUAAGGGCUUUCUGUGUAUUUGUUGGUUCCAAUCUCCUAAUUCGUCCUGACCCAGCACUGUUUUUUGUUUUCUUUAAUUCCUUGCUUGGGUUAAUUGAAUUGGUGAUGGACGGGAGGCCUGGCUUGCUGCAGUCCAUGGGGUCGCAAAGAGUUGGACACAACUGAGCGACUGAACUGAACUGGGUUAAUUCUCCUCAGAGGAUCCUUUUGUGUUGUAAAUUAGUUCUCUUUUUCUCUCUCUUUCUUUUUAUUCUGCCUCAAAGGUUCAUCAUCUGCGGUUUUGUGCAUCUGGCUGAUUUCGCUUAGGGUAUGAACCUCCAAAGUCCACCCUUCUGGGGACCAGUGGCAUAAUUUCAUCAUUUCAGUGGUGCUUUUUCGUGGCUGAGUGUGUACACACACACACACACACACACGUACAUAUACAGCGCAUCUUGUGUAAGCUCUCAGCUGUCGGUGGCAAUUCUAUGGUUCUGUGUCUUGGCUACUGUAAGUAGUGCUACUGUGAAUGCUGGGGUGCCUUUGUCUUUUUGAAGACUGGUUUCCUUGGGCUAAAGGCCCAGGUGUGAGAAUGUCAGAUCCUAGCUCUGGUCACUUGAGAGUUGUUCCCCCGCCCCAGCAUUCAGAGUGUCCUUUCGAGUGACUCUUGCCAAUGUCCAUUUCCACCGACUGUGUAGGGGGUUCCCACCCCUCCCAGCUCUCUCCUACAUGUAUUGCUAGUAGACGUUUGGUAAUGGCCAUUCUGAGCGGUAUGGUUUGACCUUGGUUGUCAUGUUUCUAUUUUCCUGUACUAUUUAAGGAUGCUGAGCUUCUUGUCCCAUGGCCAUUUGGUGUUAUUGUUUUUUUCUUUUUCAUUAAAGGGUACGAGGACAAUUUACCUGUUGCAGAUGGCUUCUUGAACGUUGGCUGUGUUUGGCAUUUGUGUUUGAAAUACCAGCCCCGGGGUGUUUCCUGCGGGCAGUUGUCAUUAAGAGCCCCCCAGGACUUGUGAGUCGGAGGUGUGAGUCAGCACUGGUAGUCAAGUUAUAGUUCCAGGAAAUGUGCACAGCGUGACAAUCCUUCUUCAGGCCCACCUCUCGUUCCCGGGGCUGUAAGAUCCUUGGGGGAGAUUGGAUUGCCAAGCUGUGAAUUUGAGUGGAAUGUGCCUGAGGAAACACUCAAGGGUUUGUGUCUCACUGCUUCUUCCCCCUGAAGCUUCACCACCACCCGCUCCGGGCCGCUCCCAACCUGAACCACAAGCCGUGCUGAGCGGGCCUAGGAGGCUGCACUCUCAGGAAGGAGGCUUGAACUGGGGACCCCAUCACCAGGACCCCUGGCGACUAGGUGAGUGUUACAAGGUCCUGAAGGCAGAGGGUGUGCCCCCAUCCUUUGGGUGCACGAGGGCGUGGUCCAGACUGAGCCAACCAGACAGUGCAGGUGUACUCGGGCUCUAAAUUAAGGGCCCCCUCUCCGGUGCCACGCCCCCAUCCCAGUCAUGGGAACCAAGCCUGCUCAGGUUCCAGGGAAGGGUAGCAGCCCAAGCCAGGGAGGCUGGAAGGAAAGAAAUAGAUAUUGCUGUUAUUUCUUUUCAUUUUCUUGAAUCUCCAAUUUUGUGCUUGUCAGCAUCCAGUCGCCUGAUUCCAUUAUGACAUGUCCAUACAGCAUCUCUCUUCUUUGGGGGGAUUCUUUGCCAUAGAGGUUAUUGCAGAAGGCUGAACCAUGUUCACCAUGAACAUGCUGAAACUCAUGUCCUGGGAUGCAACCCCGCUGAGUUGCCUAGGAGGCCGCCCUCUCAGGGUGGAGACUUGAACUGGGGACCCCAUCAGCAGGACCCCUGGCAACGAGGUGUGUUUUCUGAAGUCCUCAAAGUCAAAGGGUGUGCCCCCAUCCUUUGGUCACACGAGGGAGUGUGGUCACAGACUGAGCCAGCUGGACGGUGCAGGUGUGCUAGGGCUCUAAGCUAAGGGCCCCCCUCCCAGUAUCACGACCGCACCCCUGGUGGGGGCUUCCCUGGUAGCUCAGAUGUUAAUGAACCUGUCUGUAAUGUAGGAUACCAGGGUUCAAUAUGUUGGUUGGGAAGAACCCCUGGAGAAGGGAAUGGCUACUUAAUCCAUUAUUCAUGCCUAGAGAAUUCCAUGGAGAGAGGAGCCUGGCAGACUGCAGUCCUCAGAGUUGCAAAGAGUCUAACAAACACUUCUACUUUCAGAUUUCUAGCAUCAUGACCAAACACAGUCCAGCCAUGGGAACAAAGCCUCCUCAGGCUCCAGGGACGGGUUAGCAGCCCAAGUCAGGGAGGUCACAGGGAAUGAAAUAGAUAUUUCUUGUAUUUCUUUUUAUUUUCUCUCAUUUAGAUGCUAUGCUAGAUACAGUUGAUUUGCAGUUUUGUACUUUUCAUCAGUAUACGGCUGCUUGAAUCAGUUAUGACAUAUACACACAGGAUAUCUUUCCUUUUUGGAAUCUGUUUUCCAUACAGCUUAUUGCAGAAGGUCAUGAAAAGUUCCCCGUGCUGAACAUCAGAAUCUUCUGCAGUAUCUAUCAGAGAUACAGAUUUUAUGUGAAUGUGGAAGGAAGGAGGAAAUGAGAUUAUUCUUGUGGAUUAUCCAUACAUAUAUAGAUCUUGGUGUAUAUGUUGGAGUGAUGGAUUUGUUUGUAUAUGUUAGUCCCAACCUCCUGCAUAUCAUACUGGCCUUUUACUUUUUUUUUUAUAUAUAUAAUUCUUUGAUUUCUCAGCUCCUUUUAUCUCAUCUAAAUUUUUCCAGGAAUGUUCUUUAUCUGCUAGUUUCUUUCUUUGUCUAGCACAUUUCACUUGGCAUAUGAUCCUUCAAGGUCCAACCUUGUAGAGAAGAGUGGAAAGUAUCAUAAUUUCAGUAAUGCUUUUUAUGACUGAGUAAUAGUCCACUGUAUAUAUGUACCACAUCUUGUUUAAGCUUUAGCUGUGGGUGGAAAUUUUGUGGUUCCUGCCUUGCCUAUUGGAAGCUGUGCAACAGUGAACAGUGGGGUGCAUGUCUCUCUAUGAAUGGUGGUUUUCUUGGGAUUUAGAACUGCUCAUGUUGUACCUUGAAGCUUCCAGGCAUAUGCUCGCUUCGUGUACAAAUAUGAGGCCUCUGCUUAGAGGUUCAGCUCGCUUAUAACUAUGAGGUCUGUAGGUAGACUCUCAGCUCGUGGACAACAAUGAUGCUUUAUUCAGACUGUCAGCUCAUGUGUAAGUUUGAGGCCUCUAGGCACACCCUCAGAUCAUCUGUCCAAUGAGGCUUCUAGGCAGAAGUUCAGCUCGUGUAUUACUUUGAGGCCACUAGGCAUAUCCUCAGCUCGUGUAUAAAUACGAGGCCACAGAGAAGAUGCUAAGAUGGUGUAUAACUAUGAGGCCUCUCGGCAGAUGCUCAGCUUGUGUACAACUAUGAGGACUCAGGCUGGUGCUCAGCUCCUGUAUAACUAUGAGGCCUCUGUGAAGACGCUCAGCUGGUGUGUAACUAUGAGCCCCAAGGAAGAGCCUCAGCUGGUGUGUAACUGUGAGGCUUCCAGGCAGACACUCAGCUCUUUUGGGUCUAUGAGGCCUCUGUGCAGACACUCACUAGUAUCUGUCUAGAGGCUUCAAGACACAUAAUCAUGUAUAAAUAUGAUUUAUACAAUCAUAUUUAUUCAAUGCAGACACUCAGCUCGUGUACAAUUAUGAGGCCUCUAGGCAGACGCUCAGCUACUGAGGAUCUAUGAAGCCUAGAGCCUCUGUGCAGACGCUCAGCUUGUUUCUGUCUAGAGGCCUCAAGGAGUCGCUCAUCUCCUGUGUAAUUAUGAGGCCUCUACACAGAAGCUCGUCUCCUGUGUUCCUGUGAGGCCUCUAGGCAGACUCUUAGAUCCUGUGAGCCAAUGAGGCAGACGUUCAGCAUGUGCAUAACUAUCAGGUCUCUAGUAGAUGCUCAGCUUGUGUGUAACUAUGAGGACUCAGAUCAGACACUCAGCUCCUGUGUUUCUAUGAGGGCUCUAGGCUGAUGCUCAGCUCAGGUCUGUCUAGAGGCCUCAGACAGACUCCCACGUGUGAAUAAAAAGAGGCCUCUAGGCAGACGCUCUCAUGUGCCUGUCUGGAGCUUCAAGGAAGAUGCUCAGCUCCUAUAUAACUACGAGGCCUGAGGGCAGACUCUCAGCUGGUGUAUAACUCAGAGGCCUCUAGGGAGACGCUCAUCUUCUGUGUUCCUAUGAGGCCUCUAGACAGGUGUGCACCUCAUGUCUGUCAGGAGGCCUCAAGGCAGAUGCUCAGCUUCUGUGGGACCGUGAGGGUUCUAGGCAGAUGCUCAGCUCCUGUAUAAC
Bos grunniens (domestic yak) is the source of this 5284-nucleotide long non-coding RNA. The record is from Ensembl. NCBI's taxonomy places the organism in Eukaryota, Metazoa, Chordata, Mammalia, Artiodactyla, Bovidae.